This is a long non-coding RNA of Carcharodon carcharias (great white shark), 1094 nucleotides long. RefSeq lists it as uncharacterized. Lineage: Eukaryota; Metazoa; Chordata; Chondrichthyes; Lamniformes; Lamnidae. The record is from RefSeq and is a predicted model, not a curated record. The transcript has 3 exons.
GACACAUUACAAAGUAGUAUUAUUUUUAAACUGAAAUCCUGUUACACAUGUUGCUUAUGGAAUGUGGUCUCCUGCAUGUUCUCGCUUUUCGCCGCCAUCACUGUUAGUUUAAGUGGAAGUACUUAAGUGCUUUCUAAUGCGAUACUUAGGCCUAGUUUAAAUUUUCUUACAAUAUUUGCAUUUAAAAGGAACGCUAAGAAAUACUGGUGUUGUCGUAAAAUGUUUAAUCCAAUAUCGGUAAAACUACUGAAAUGACGAUAUUUGUGCCAAGGAUAGUUCUUCACAUUUCCGGUAAAGAGAAGGGCGAUGUGAGGUACAAACCGAAACAAUAGUACAGGAAAACCCCCCAAAAAUAACGUUUGUUGGGUCUGAUUCACGGUAUACGAGAUUUUUUUUUAAGUAAAGGGCUGAAAGUGAGCCUCUUGCACUAAGUGGAACUAUUUCAGCCGACGGCAGGACGAAAGCUAAAAUCCUACGGGUUUAUUAAUGCAAGACACCUAAGGGGCUUUAACGUGGAUCGGAGGAACAAGGAGCAGAGGGUUAGAGGCUUCUAAUGUGAGGAAAAACACGCAAUGACAAGUGUGGAAAAGAGCAAGCACUAAAUUACUGUCAGAAAAAUAAACGGAGUAGCACACCGUUGCAUGGUGAUUUACGGGGGCAAUUACUCACCACCCCAUGGAGCUGCUGAGGACAGCACUGCUGCAGAAGUGUCAGGAAAAGAGGCAAAAGAAGCUGCAGGGCUGAAUACUUCAUUUUCUUUCUCUCACUCUUCAAAACAAAAAGUCGGAGAGGGACUUCAGUUGUUACAACCCCAGCAUAGUACAUGCUCUUUUUUGAUGACCAUGAGAACAAACCAACAAGAUACUGUAUUAUCUUCCAGCACUUUGAGUCUCUUAUUUUUGCUGCGUUGCAGACUUUUAAAAAUUAUAUGUUACUUUCUCUUUUCCACUCAUUUGAGAACAUUAAUCUUUUAAUGACAACUCUGUAGAGUUUGUAGAAUUUUGUUCACUGAUUGUACCUAUAUUUCUCUGUUAUAUGACUGGCAAACCUGACUUACUGGCAAAAGAAAAUAUCUUUACAUUUGAUAAAACUUA